CCAGCAGCCGCGGUAAUUCCAGCUCCAAUAGCGUAUAUUAAAGUUGUUGCAGUUAAAAAGCUCGUAGUUGGAUUUCUGAGGGGAUGCCAAUGUCGGCUUGUUGCUUGUGCAGCGGCGUCCCCUCAUCCUGCAGUUAACGUUUCUGGUAUUCAUUUACUGGUCUCGGGCUCUGCUACUUUACCUUGAGAAAAUUAGAGUGUUCCAGGCAGGCUUGCGCCGGAAUACAUUAGCAUGGAAUAAUAGAAUAGGACUUUAGUCUCCCUUGUUGGUUUGAGGGACUGAAGUAAUGAUUAAUAGGGAUAGUUGGGGGCAUUAGUAUUUAAUUGUCAGAGGUGAAAUUCUCGGAUUUGUUAAAGACUAACUUAUGCGA
RNAcentral lists this ribosomal RNA (370 nucleotides) under uncultured eukaryote. Its description in RNAcentral is "SSU rRNA". It matches the Rfam family "Eukaryotic small subunit ribosomal RNA", at positions 567 to 948 of the family's 1831-position model. The record is from RNAcentral.